GACGAACGCUGGCGGCGUGCUUAACAUAUGCAAGUCGAACGCUGAAGCUCAGCUUUUGUUGGGUGGAUGAGUGGCGAACGGGUGAGUAACACGUGAGUAACCUGCCCCCUUCUUUGGGAUAACGCCCGGAAACGGGUGCUAAUACUGGAUAUUCACUGGUCUUCGCAUGGGGGUUGGUGGAAAGGGUUUUUCUGGUGGGGGAUGGGCUCGCGGCCUAUCAGCUUGUUGGUGGGGCGAUGGCCUACCAAGGCUUUGACGGGUAGCCGGCCUGAGAGGGUGACCGGUCACAUUGGGACUGAGAUACGGCCCAGACUCCUACGGGAGGCAGCAGUGGGGAAUAAUGCACAAUGGGCGCAAGCCUGAUGCAGCGACGCCGCGUGAGGGAUGGAGGCCUUCGGGUUGUGAACCUCUUUCGCUCAUGGUCAAGCCGCAACAAUGGUUGUGGUGAGGGUAGUGGGUAAAGAAGCGCCGGCUAACUACGUG
This 483-nucleotide ribosomal RNA is filed under the name uncultured bacterium. Its description in RNAcentral is "partial 16S ribosomal RNA". It matches the Rfam family "Bacterial small subunit ribosomal RNA", at positions 28 to 507 of the family's 1533-position model. The record is from RNAcentral.